UACGAAGGGGGCUAGCGUUGUUCGGAUUUACUGGGCGUAAAGCGCGCGUAGGCGGGUUGCUAAGUCAGGGGUGAAAUGCCGAGGCUCAACCUCGGAACUGCCUUUGAUACUGGCAACCUGGAGUUCGGGAGAGGUGAGUGGAAUUCCGAGUGUAGAGGUGAAAUUCGUAGAUAUUCGGAGGAACACCAGAAGCGAAGGCGGCUCACUGGCCCGAUACUGACGCUGAGGCGCGAAAGCGUGGGGAGCAAACAGG
RNAcentral lists this ribosomal RNA (253 nucleotides) under uncultured bacterium. Its description in RNAcentral is "partial 16S ribosomal RNA". It matches the Rfam family "Bacterial small subunit ribosomal RNA", at positions 524 to 776 of the family's 1533-position model. The record is from RNAcentral.